RNAcentral lists this ribosomal RNA (481 nucleotides) under uncultured bacterium. Its description in RNAcentral is "partial 16S ribosomal RNA". It matches the Rfam family "Bacterial small subunit ribosomal RNA", at positions 28 to 507 of the family's 1533-position model. The record is from RNAcentral.
GAUGAACGCUGGCGGCGUGCUUAACACAUGCAAGUCGAACGAAGCACUUUAUUUGAUUUCCUUCGGGACUGAUUAUUUUGUGACUGAGUGGCGGACGGGUGAGUAACGCGUGAGUAACCUGCCUUGUACAGGGGGAUAACAGUUGGAAACGGCUGCUAAUACCGCAUAAGCGCACGGCAUCGCAUGAUGCAGUGUGAAAAACUCCGGUGGUAUAAGAUGGACCCGCGUUGGAUUAGCUAGUUGGUGAGGUAACGGCCCACCAAGGCGACGAUCCAUAGCCGACCUGAGAGGGUGACCGGCCACAUUGGGACUGAGACACGGCCCAAACUCCUACGGGAGGCAGCAGUGGGGAAUAUUGCACAAUGGGCGAAAGCCUGAUGCAGCGACGCCGCGUGAGCGAAGAAGUAUUUCGGUAUGUAAAGCUCUAUCAGCAGGGAAGAUAAUGACGGUACCUGACUAAGAAGCACCGGCUAAAUACGUG